CCUACGGGAGGCAGCAGUGAGGACUAUUGGUCAAUGGGCGUAAGCCUGAACCAGCCAAGUCGCGUGAGGGAUGAAGGUUCUAUGGAUCGUAAACCUCUUUUAUAAGAGAAUAAAGUGUGGGACGUGUCCUGUUUUGUAUGUACCUUAUGAAUAAGGAUCGGCUAACUCCGUGCCAGCAGCCGCGGUAAUACGGAGGAUCCGAGCGUUAUCCGGAUUUAUUGGGUUUAAAGUGUGCGUAGGCGGCCUGUUAAGUCAGCGGUGAAAGUGUGGGGCUCAACCAUAGAAUUGCCGUUGAAACUGGGAGGCUUGAGUAUGUUUGAGGCAGGCGGAAUGCGUGGGGUAGCGGUGAAAUGCUUAGAUAUCACGCAGAACCCCGAUGGCGAAGGCAGCCUGCCAAGCCAUGACUGACGCUGAUGCACGAAAGCGUGGGGAUCAAACAGGAUUAGAUACCCCGGUAGUC
This 460-nucleotide ribosomal RNA is filed under the name uncultured bacterium. RNAcentral describes it as "partial 16S ribosomal RNA". It matches the Rfam family "Bacterial small subunit ribosomal RNA", at positions 338 to 795 of the family's 1533-position model. The record is from RNAcentral.